RNAcentral lists this long non-coding RNA (500 nucleotides) under Mytilus galloprovincialis (Mediterranean mussel). Lineage: Eukaryota; Metazoa; Mollusca; Bivalvia; Mytilida; Mytilidae. The record is from RNAcentral.
UGUUAUUUUUUUUACAUAAAAUUGAGAAUGGAAAUGGGGAAUGUGUCAAAGAGACAACAACCCGACCAAAUAAAAAACAACAGCAGAGGGUCACCAACAGGUCUUCAAUGUAGCGAGAAAUUCCCGCACCCGGAGGCGUCCUUCAGCUGGCCCAUAAACAAAUAUAUACUAGUCCAGUGAUAAUGAACGCCAUACGAAUUUCCAAAUUGUACACAAGAAAGUAAAAUUAAAAUAAUACAAGACUAACAAAGGCCAGAGGCUCCUGACUUGGGACAGGCGCAAAAAUGCGGCGGGGUUAAACAUGUUUGCGAGAUCUCAACCCUCCCCCUAUACCUCUAACCAAUGUAGAAAAGUAAACGCAUAACAAUACGCACAUUAAAAUUCCGUUCAAGAGAAGUCCGAGUCUGAUGUCAGAAGAUGUAACCAAAGAAAAUAAACAAAAUGACAAUAAUACAUAAAUAACAACAGACUACUAGCAGUUAACUGACAUGCCAGCUCCA